UACGGGGGGGGCAAGCGUUGUUCGGCAUUACUGGGCGUAAAGGGCUCGUAGGCGGCCAACUAAGUCAGACGUGAAAUCCCUCGGCUUACCCGGGGAACUGCGUCUGAUACUGGAUGGCUAGAGAUUGGGAGAGGGAUGCGGAAUUCCAGGUGUAGCGGUGAAAUGCGUAGAUAUCUGGAGGAACACCGGUGGCGAAGGCGGCUUCCUGGACCGACACUGACGCUGAGGCGCGAAAGCGUGGGGAGCAAACAGG
Molecule: ribosomal RNA, 253 nt
Filed under: uncultured bacterium
Lineage: Bacteria
Description: partial 16S ribosomal RNA
Rfam family: Bacterial small subunit ribosomal RNA
Source: RNAcentral